GGCGAACGGGUGAGUAACACGUGGGUGAUCUGCCCUGCACUUCGGGAUAAGCCUGGGAAACUGGGUCUAAUACCGGAUAGGACUCCGGACUGCAUGGUCUGGGGUGGAAAGCUUUUGCGGUGUGGGAUGGGCCCGCGGCCUAUCAGCUUGUUGGUGGGGUGAUGGCCUACCAAGGCGACGACGGGUAGCCGGCCUGAGAGGGUGACCGGCCACACUGGGACUGAGAUACGGCCCAGACUCCUACGGGAGGCAGCAGUGGGGAAUAUUGCACAAUGGGCGCAAGCCUGAUGCAGCGACGCCGCGUGAGGGAUGACGGCCUUCGGGUUGUAAACCUCUUUCAGCAUCGACGAAGCGAAAGUGACGGUAGGUGCAGAAGAAGGACCGGCCAACUACGUGCCAGCAGCCGCGGUAAUACGUAGGGUCCGAGCGUUGUCCGGAAUUACUGGGCGUAAAGAGCUCGUAGGUGGUUUGUCGCGUUGUUCGUGAAAACCCACAACUCAAUUGUGGGCGUGCGGGCGAUACGGGCAGACUGGAGUACUGCAGGGGAGACUGGAAUUCCUGGUGUAGCGGUGGAAUGCGCAGAUAUCAGGAGGAACACCGGUGGCGAAGGCGGGUCUCUGGGCAGUAACUGACGCUGAGGAGCGAAAGCGUGGGGAGCGAACAGGAUUAGAUACCCUGGUAGUCCACGCCGU
This 692-nucleotide ribosomal RNA is filed under the name uncultured Mycobacterium sp. RNAcentral describes it as "bacterial SSU rRNA". It matches the Rfam family "Bacterial small subunit ribosomal RNA", at positions 97 to 803 of the family's 1533-position model. Lineage: Bacteria; Bacillati; Actinomycetota; Actinomycetes; Mycobacteriales; Mycobacteriaceae. The record is from RNAcentral.